GGAUGUGAGGGCGAUCCAGCUGAGACAUCUAUCACCCCAUUGAUUGCCAGGGUUGAUUCGGCUGAUCUGGCUGGCUAGGCGGGUGUCCCCUUCCUCCCUCACCGCUCCAUGUGCAUCCCUUCCGAAGCUGCACGCUCUGUUGAAGAGGACGGCCUUCCCGGAAUAGAGACAGACCGGUCUUAGGUUGAGGGUAGCUGUGCUCCCCUGCUAGAACCUCCAAACAAGCUCUCAAGAAAGAGGGUGUGUGUGUGUGUGUGUGUGUGUGUGUGUGUGUGUGUGUGUGUGUGUAAAUAUUAUUAUAUAAUUAUCUAGUUCUGUCCUAAAUCCUGUCUAUUUUU
Erinaceus europaeus (western European hedgehog) is the source of this 338-nucleotide unclassified non-coding RNA. Its record names the gene 7SK. It matches the Rfam family "7SK RNA". From Rfam's summary of the family: 7SK was discovered as an abundant small nuclear RNA in the mid-70s but a possible function has only recently been suggested. Two independent studies have found that 7SK RNA binds the CDK9/cyclin T complex (known as elongation factor P-TEFb). P-TEFb activates transcription by phosphorylating the C-terminal domain of RNA polymerase II. Lineage: Eukaryota; Metazoa; Chordata; Mammalia; Eulipotyphla; Erinaceidae. The record is from Ensembl.